UUCGACGGGUAGCCGGCCUGAGAGGCCGACCGGCCACAUUGGGACUGAGAUACGGCCCAGACUCCUACGGGAGGCAGCAGUGGGGAAUAUUGCACAAUGGGCGCAAGCCUGAUGCAUCGACGCCGCGUGAGGGAUGGAGGCCUUCGGGUUGUAAACCUCUUUUGUUAGGGAGCAAGGCACUUUGUGUUGAGUGUACCUUUCGAAUAAGCACCGGCUAACUACGUGCCAGCAGCCGCGGUAAUACGUAGGGUGCAAGCGUUAUCCGGAAUUAUUGGGCGUAAAGGGCUCGUAGGCGGUUCGUCGCGUCCGGUGUGAAAGUCCAUCGCUUAACGGUGGAUCCGCGCCGGGUACGGGCGGGCUUGAGUGCGGUAGGGGAGACUGGAAUUCCCGGUGUAACGGUG
RNAcentral lists this ribosomal RNA (401 nucleotides) under uncultured Bifidobacterium sp. Its description in RNAcentral is "bacterial SSU rRNA". It matches the Rfam family "Bacterial small subunit ribosomal RNA", at positions 275 to 683 of the family's 1533-position model. Lineage: Bacteria; Bacillati; Actinomycetota; Actinomycetes; Bifidobacteriales; Bifidobacteriaceae. The record is from RNAcentral.